GCAAAGACAAAAAAAAUCUCAUGUUUCAGAAAAGAUCCAAUCAUAUACCAUACACCUGCCAAGUCCUAUCCCAAUUCCCGAAGAUUCAUGAAGGCACUAACCAAUUUCUGACUAAAAAUUCCAACUUUUCUUCCUCUCGAGCAAUCCUAAGCCUGCAUGAACCACAUGGGAAUACACGAAGGGUAAAUUAAAGGGAUGGAGGGCGUAAGCUAACUGCAGAUUAUAGCACUCACACACCAAUCCCUCUCGGUGUGCACUGUGAGCACUGUACAACAGAAGAAAAUUUAAUCUAGAAAGAGAACUAAACACAAAUUUCUUUUUCGAAGCCAUCUCUGACGUCCGAUCGGUGAGGGUAUACAGCAGACCGCCGGAUCACAACUAAAAACUUGGCCGGAGGACUCGGACGACCAGCAGAGAUGGCAGGGGGAUUCA
This 432-nucleotide long non-coding RNA is filed under the name Phoenix dactylifera (date palm). RNAcentral describes it as "long non-coding RNA (PDAC_LNC002082)". The record is from RNAcentral. Lineage: Eukaryota; Viridiplantae; Streptophyta; Magnoliopsida; Arecales; Arecaceae.